Molecule: ribosomal RNA, 497 nt
Filed under: uncultured bacterium
Lineage: Bacteria
Description: partial 16S ribosomal RNA
Rfam family: Bacterial small subunit ribosomal RNA
Source: RNAcentral
GAUGAACGCUGGCGGCGUGCCUAAUACAUGCAAGUCGAGCGAACAGACGAGGAGCUUGCUCUUCUGAUGUUAGCGGCGGACGGGUGAGUAACACGUGGAUAACCUACCUAUAAGACUGGGAUAACUUCGGGAAACCGGAGCUAAUACCGGAUAAUAUUUUGAACCGCAUGGUUCAAAAGUGAAAGACGGUCUUGCUGUCACUUAUAGAUGGAUCCGUGCUGCAUUAGCUAGUUGGUAAGGUAACGGCUUACCAAGGCAACGAUGCAUAGCCGACCUGAGAGGGUGAUCGGCCACACUGGAACUGAGACACGGUCCAGACUCCUACGGGAGGCAGCAGUAGGGAAUCUUCCGCAAUGGGCGAAAGCCUGACGGAGCAACGCCGCGUGAGUGAUGAAGGUCUUCGGAUCGUAAAACUCUGUUAUUAGGGAAGAACAUAUGUGUAAGUAACUGUGCACGUCUUGACGGUACCUAAUCAGAAAGCCACGGCUAACUACGUG